GUGUCAGCAGCCGCGGUAAUACAGAGGGUGCAAGCGUUGUCCGGAAUUACUGGGCGUAAAGGGCGCGUAGGCGGCCCGAUAAGUCGGGGGUGAAAUUCAGCGGCUCAACCGCUGGACUGCCUUCGAGACUGUCAGGCUCGAGCACGGUAGAGGCUGGUGGAAUUCCCGGUGUAGCGGUGGAAUGCGUAGAGAUCGGGAAGAACAUCGGUGGCGAAGGCGGCCAGCUGGGCCGUUGCUGACGCUGAGGCGCGACAGCGUGGGGAGCAAACAGGAUUAGAAACCCCUGUAGUCC
This 292-nucleotide ribosomal RNA is filed under the name uncultured bacterium. Its description in RNAcentral is "partial 16S ribosomal RNA". It matches the Rfam family "Bacterial small subunit ribosomal RNA", at positions 505 to 796 of the family's 1533-position model. The record is from RNAcentral.